Molecule: ribosomal RNA, 741 nt
Filed under: uncultured epsilon proteobacterium kps81f
Lineage: Bacteria; Pseudomonadati; Campylobacterota
Description: bacterial SSU rRNA
Rfam family: Bacterial small subunit ribosomal RNA
Source: RNAcentral
UGCCAGCAGCCGCGGUAAUACGGGGGGUGCAAGCGUUACUCGGAAUCACUGGGCGUAAAGAGCAUGUAGGCUGGUUUGUAAGUUGGAAGUGAAAUCCUAUGGCUUAACCAUAGAACUGCUUCCAAAACUGCAGACCUAGAAUAUGGGAGAGGUAGAUGGAAUUUCUGGUGUAGGGGUAAAAUCCGUAGAGAUCAGAAGGAAUACCGAUUGCGAAGGCGAUCUACUGGAACAUUAUUGACGCUGAGAUGCGAAAGCGUGGGGAGCAAACAGGAUUAGAUACCCUGGUAGUCCACGCCCUAAACGAUGCACACUAGUUGUUGCCUUGCUAGACAAGGCAGUAAUGCAGUUAACACAGUAAGUGUGCCGCCUGGGGAGUACGGUCGCAAGAUUAAAACUCAAAGGAAUAGACGGGGACCCGCACAAGCGGUGGAGCAUGUGGUUUAAUUCGACGAUACGCGAAGAACCUUACCUGGCCUUGACAUAGAAGGAACUUACUAGAGAUAGUUUGGUGCUAGUUUACUAGAGCCUUCAUACAGGUGCUGCACGGCUGUCGUCAGCUCGUGUCGUGAGAUGUUGGGUUAAGUCCCGCAACGAGCGCAACCCUCGUGUUUAGUUACUAACAGUUCGGCUGAGGACUCUAGACAGACUUGCCUGGGUAACCAGGAGGAAGGUGAGGACGACGUCAAGUCAUUCAUGGCCCUUACGGCAGGGCUACACACGUGCUACAAUGGGGUAUACAAA